UCAGAAACUGCUACUCAAGUGUACCCUCCUGGUUCUAGGGUUCCAUUGUGGUGACAACAAAUUACAAGCAGCUUACUUCCUCAGAGCCCAUCACUACCAACACCAACUGACAGCUUCGAGAAGGACCUCAGUACCACUUUCCCUAACCAAAAUUUUCCUCUUUACUCCAAGCCCUGACAAGGAUAAAUCUCUAAACUUUAGAAACAAUGUAAUUUUACAAAUUAACUUAUACGCAGGGUUACUUCCUUUCCAAUUUGAUCAGGGAAUGCAGGGCAAGAAUAACCCAAAAUAUGCAAUGUAAAUCAUGUUGAAAUUAAAAUGUAUUUCCAUCUCCACCCCUCCACGAUGGCAUAAUUUCAAAUCAACUUAUAUAAUGCAUAUCUAGUCCUCUGAAAAAUCAUUUUUAAAAGUAGGGCUGUUAUUAUUCUGUCCUAGCUAUCGCAGAUCAAUUUAGAUUUGUUCUGUAAGAUUUCAGAUUUUCCCCAAAUGACACAGGUGGUUAUUUUAUAUGUAUCAGUCAUUAAAAGAUUAAUCCUUUUUAACUAAAAAGAGACAGUACGGUCAUUUACAAGUUAAAGUAGAUUUAUUCUGAGCUGGUGCUCUGGGGUCUUACUUCUCUAAAAUUUUGUGAUUUACAAUACACCACAUGUAGGAAACAGCUUCCAAAAUUUGUAUUGCUUCCUACAAAUCAGACAGGACUUUCAGGAGAAGGAGCCUAGGAUAGAUUCUCUGUUAAAUUUUGGAAUCCCUUCUCUCAAGAGUAACCUACUAUAAACUAUUUACCAAGCCUUUGUGAAAUCUGUAUAACAGGUUACUACUCCAUUGAGCAAGAAAACACAGGAAACAGGAUUCGAAGAUUUAAUGUUACUGCUCAUACUCCAAAUUAUAGAAUGCUUAAGAUAAUUAAAUUAUCUGACUUUUAUAAUUCACUACACGGUGACCUCAAAUUUACCUCAUUAGAAUAUUUAGUACUUCUGCACUUCUCCCACUUCUCAAAGUUUUCCCAUACCAGGAUUCCCCACCACCUAGGAACAGCCUUUGCAAGAUACCAAUGCUCUCUAAAUCCCCAAAGCAGGGUCUAUUUCCUGAUCGAACAAAGAGCAACAAAGAAGUGGGUGGUAACCACCUCUCUGAGGCAAGCCAGGACCCAUGGAGUCUGAUCUACAACACAAGCAGUAGCAGUUCCACAUCUCCCUACCACCUCUUAUUUCCUACGAAGUCUUUCUGCCUGAAACUGGAAAACCCGAACUAUUAUUGAGGAAGUGAAGCCCUUCCAUUUGAAUCCUGAGAAAGACGCGCUCAAAGAACCCAGCGAACAAAGGAGAGGGUUGGAGCCCACGCAAAACAUGGGUGUGAUAAAGCCACACGCGACCUGAGCCCCCACCCUCAGUAACUACUCUCCAGCGCCCACCGGGAGGAGGGGUCCGGGGAAAGGAUUGGCAUCCUCUGCUUCUGCAGAAAACAUGGCUACCAACAGCUUCUGUAUCCACCUGCGGAGGAGACUGACUGCUCUGUUAUUCCCCCAGCAUCUGUGAAGAGGCUCUGACUGGCUAAAGUGUUGGUAUAGUGAUCACCCCAGGGUUAGGCAACCAUGGCUGGUGAAAAGGAAAAACGUUAUGAACCUGGCUGUGCGGAGCUACCUGAGGAAGCUUGUAGGAGAAGGGAAGGAGUCUGUAGCUUUAGGGGAAGACAGAGCCACAAGAUGGAAGGAGCUUGGAUGUCUGAACUAUUCCAUGGAGAAAAGCUGCAGCCAACGAAGAACACCUGCAAUGGACUCUUAACCUGGGGGUGACGACAACCACUGAAAUAUGCUGCAUCUUAGUCCAGGGAUUUUUAAAGUGUGGUUCCUGGAAGAGCUGGAUCAGAGUCAUCUGUGUUGAUGGUUUAACAUAAAGAUUUUCGAGCCCCAAGACUCAAGUAGGACAAGGAAUUUGAAUUUUUAAGCAGCUCACCUGACUUGUCUGUCCUCUAAUGUCUGAAGACAUCUGACCUCUGCUCUUUCAGUAAAAGCAACAAUGGUUUUAUGAGCAUUGUCGUCACAUCUCUCCACUCAAGGGAUCCUUCUCAUUUCUCCCAGCUGAGGUCACCCACAGCUGCUGCUUCUAACUGCUGGCUUCCAGCCUGCUGUCUGCCAGCUGGCUCUACCCUCUCCUAUAACACGGCAGAGAGUAGCUGUGGUCUCCUGCGUGCUCACCCUCUGCUCCCUUGGUCCUGCUCCAUGCUUUGGUCCUGCACUUAAAUUUUACAAGCAUACUCUCUUUCUCUUAAGAGAAACCUGAUACAAUUUCAAGGUGGAAUACUUGCAGUGAUGGUCAAGAUGAAAGAAUGAUUUUCAAUGCCAUUUAGAGGAAAUCUUGGGAUCAACUUGGGAAAAGACGGAGGCUCCUGGCUCUGAUCUUUGGGGACUUCAGAUUUUCUGGAUCAAGGUGAGUCUUCUUGAGGCUUUACCAAGGAAACAGGCAGUUUUAGAGUUGGCCUUAAGGAUGUUCUCUGGUGUCAUCAAAGAAAUGGAAAUGCAAAGCAGAGACAUGUGCAUUUAGAUAUGUGUAAGACUGUAGACUAUUUUUAGUGGAAAAUGGCUGCUGAGUGUGUGGAAAGAGUAUAAAAGAUUUCAGUGGGAAGAUUCUACAAUCAUUUGAGAUUCUCCAUUGCUGGAAAAUUCUCAAAUUAGGCUUAUGAAGGCAAUUUGAUUUAGCAAACAGCUCUCUGGACCAAGCAAAUCUUCUCAGCAGGGAUGGAAUUUGAACUGCACUUGUCCCUGGUUCUCACCUUCCCUGAGAAGCAGUGCAUCUGCAGUGUCCCAGGUGAUGCCCCCCACAGGCCUUGAAGCUUGUCUUCCAGAAGAGCCUUCAUUUCAGGGGCAGCAUUCCAGGAAGCACGCCCAUGAAACACUCAUGAGGAGGAACUGGGCUGCCAAUUAUGACUUGUCACUGCUCCAUCAACAUAAAAGCUCGGCAGCACUCAGAUGGCUCUUGAAAAUCUUUGAGAUAUAAUCUGAAAGGAGGUCCCAGUUUCUGCCCCGGGCUGUUUGCAUCAUCAACCUGCAAAAUUCCAAUCUUGGAACUUGCUGAGAUUUUCAUUCUGAGACUCUCUGCCCUGGGCCUUGAGGAUAGCCAGAAGAAUACUAUAUUUCUUCUGCCUCUCUUUCUCUUUCUAUCUAAAGAGGUCAGGAUUAUAUAUCCACUUUGCUGAAUAUAGAAUCAAACCCAAUUGCCAUCAGCAAGUGCUGUAUAUCACCUACCACACCUGGGACCAGGCAUCAACAAGACCUUGACAGGGCCAGAAGCCUCAAGCCCUCAUUGCCAAGCCCAUUAAAAUCAGGAACUCAAUCUCAUUAAGGAAGGAGUGCAAUGGAUAUAGCCAGACAGGAGGAUUUCCACUUCAGUAUUAUCCUGAAUAGUGAACAACCAUCUCUGCUUUUCUCAGGGAGAAAGAUGUGGUAACAGUCACAAUGAUAGUAGACGAUGGUGACUGUUUAAUUUGUCAUGGCUAACAUAUAUGGUUAGCAAAUUGAGUUUCCUUUUAGGUAUAGUCUGAAUUGAACUGAAGUUCAUUAUAAUUCCCCUAAGUUGAUCUGUGAGGGCAUUUUAGCCUUCUUGGUAAAAUUAAAUAAUAUCAGUCAAAAAGGCUGUUAAACCAAUUCUUACACUUGAAAGCUUCCAGUUAUUCUAAUAAUUUGGAAUCUGUGUCUCCCCCUCUGUGGCAAUGAGGCUGUUGCUUGCUUUUCCCAAGAGACUGUAUUGCAUCUUUCUUGUUUUCUGAGAUGAGAAACAACCUCAAGGUCAUGCCCAGUGAUAUGGUUUGGCUCUGUGCCCCCACCCAAAUCUCAUCCCGAAUUGUAAUCCCCACAUGUCGGAGGAGGGGCUUGGUGGGAGGUGACUGGAUUAUGGGGGUGUAUUUACCCCUUGUUUUCAUGAUAGUGAGUUCUCAUGAGAUUUGAUGGUUUAAAACUGUGUGGCACCGCCCCCUGCAAGCUCCCUCUCUCUCCUGCCACCAAGUAAGACGUGCCUUGCUUCUUCUUUGCCUUCUGCCAUGAUUGUAAGUUUUCUGAGGCUUCCCCAGCCAUGCAGAACUGUGU
RNAcentral lists this long non-coding RNA (4078 nucleotides) under Homo sapiens (human). RNAcentral describes it as "HSALNT0112007". Lineage: Eukaryota; Metazoa; Chordata; Mammalia; Primates; Hominidae. The record is from RNAcentral.